CUUUUUUCAAUUUACAUUUCUUUGUAUUUAUCCAUAAAAAUGAUGCCAGACAAUUUAUGAUUUCGAUUGGCUAAGAAACGCUGCCUGCCUAUCAGGCUCAUCCUGGAGAUCGAAUUUGAAUAUUGAAACAAUGUUGCAAAUGUCCAGAGAGACUGACAGCAAGGUUUAUAUUAAUCUCUGCUGUUGUUAACUAAAUGUUAGUCUAAAAGAAAUGUGAGAUAAUGUCUAGAUGCUCUUUAUAUUGCCUAGCUGGGCUGAUGAGACAGCGGAUUGCGCAGUCAGAUGGAACAGAGUAAAUAGGCAUUUCAACUUCAUAGCUUUAGCCAGUGGUAACUUGUGGAAUAGACACCGGCUGGAAUGCAGUUUUAACCAAUCAGCAUUCGGAUUAGACCCACCCAUUGUAUAAUUAAGAAAUAAAACAUGAGGGGGUGUGGUAUAUGGCCGAAAUACCACGCCUAAGGACUGUUCUUAUGCACAAUGCAUCGCGGAGUGCCUGGACACAGCCCUUAGCCGUGGUAUAUUGGCCAUAUACCACAACUGGUUACCAACGUCAUUGGAGCAGUAAAAAUAAAUGUUUUGUCGUACCACGGCUGUCAACUAUUCAGCAUUCAGGGCUCGAACCACUCAGUUUAUAAUUUUAAAUUUAUCACGUAUUUAGCUUCCAGUAUUACCAUUUGAAAACAAUAGAAAAGUGAAUUCAGUAAUGUACAAGGUUUUACCUUUUGAAAAAAGUUUGUAGCCUAAUACAUCAUAAUGUAAACAGAAUACAUCAUCUCAUCUCUCCAACUGUCAAUAGAAAACUUCCGUCUGACUUCGGUUUAUGCUGAAAACAGUGCUGCCGUUCAAAUUAAUUCACAGUUUCCCCGGUUCUGACCAUUCUGCCUGCCCUGAUCCCGAGCCUGCCUGCCGUUCUGUACCUGCCUGACUCUGACCCGAUUACGAACCUCUGCCUGCCCCCGAGCCUGCCUGCCAUUCUGUGCCUUACUGACUCUGCCAAGGAUUACGGACCUCGGCCUACCCUCCACCUGUCUUUUGCCUGCCCCCUG
RNAcentral lists this long non-coding RNA (1046 nucleotides) under Salmo salar (Atlantic salmon). Its description in RNAcentral is "lncRNA (ENSSSAG00000097441.1)". The record is from RNAcentral. Lineage: Eukaryota; Metazoa; Chordata; Actinopteri; Salmoniformes; Salmonidae.